UUUUAUCCACAGUCAUGUUUAAUAUUUUUAUUAAUAACUUAAUUGAUAAUAUAAAAGCAUUAAAUAUUGGUAUAGACAUUGACGGCGAAAAGGUUGCUAUUUUAUUAUAUGCAGAUGAUCUUGUUUUAUUGUCUGAAAAUACAGAAGAUAUGCAGAAAUUGAUUAAUGUAUUAGUUGUAUGGUGUAAUGAUAAUUGUUUAAAAGUUAAUUUAAAUAAAUCAAAA
This 224-nucleotide long non-coding RNA is filed under the name Mytilus galloprovincialis (Mediterranean mussel). Lineage: Eukaryota; Metazoa; Mollusca; Bivalvia; Mytilida; Mytilidae. The record is from RNAcentral.